Molecule: ribosomal RNA, 206 nt
Filed under: uncultured bacterium
Lineage: Bacteria
Description: partial 16S ribosomal RNA
Rfam family: Bacterial small subunit ribosomal RNA
Source: RNAcentral
UGCGUAGGCGGCUCUCUAAGUCGGAUGUGAAAACUCUGGGCUCAACCCAGAGCCUGCAUCCGAAACUGGAGAGCUAGGGUUCUGGAGGGGAAAGCGGAAUUCCUGGUGUAGCGGUGAAAUGCGUAGAUAUCAGGAGGAACACCGGUGGCGAAGGCGGCUUUCUGGACAGAUACCGACGCUGAGGCACGAAAGCUAGGGAGCAAACA